This 468-nucleotide ribosomal RNA is filed under the name uncultured bacterium. RNAcentral's name for it is "partial 16S ribosomal RNA". It matches the Rfam family "Bacterial small subunit ribosomal RNA", at positions 28 to 507 of the family's 1533-position model. The record is from RNAcentral.
GGCGAACGCUGGCGGCGUGCUUAACACAUGCAAGUCGAACGGAAGGGCCCUGCUUUUGUGGGGUGCUCGAGUGGCGAACGGGUGAGUAACACGUGUGUAACCUGCCCUUGACUUUGGGAUAACUUCAGGAAACUGGGGCUAUUACCGGAUAGGAUCUCCUGCUGCAUGGUGGGCAUUGGAAAGUUUCGGCGGUUGGGGAUGGACUCGCGGCUUAUCCGCUUGUUGGUGGGGUAGUGGCUUACCAAGGCUGUGACGGGUAGCCGGCCUGGGAGCGUGACCGGCCACAUUGGGACUGAGAGACGGCCCAGACUCCUACGGGAGGCAGCAGUGGGGAAUAUUGCACAAUGGGCGGAAGCCUGAUGCAGCAACGCCGCGUGCGUGAUGACGGCCUUCGGGUUGUAAACCGCUUUCGCCUGUGACGAAGCGUGAGUGACGGUAAUGGGUAAAGAAGCACCGGCUAACUACGUG